RNAcentral lists this ribosomal RNA (253 nucleotides) under uncultured bacterium. Its description in RNAcentral is "partial 16S ribosomal RNA". It matches the Rfam family "Bacterial small subunit ribosomal RNA", at positions 524 to 776 of the family's 1533-position model. The record is from RNAcentral.
GACGAACCGUGCGAACGUUGUUCGGAAUCACUGGGCUUAAAGGGCGCGUAGGCGGGCCGGCAAGUCAGGGGUGAAAUCCCACGGCUCAACCGUGGAAGUGCCUUUGAUACUGCCGGUCUGGAGGGAGGUAGGGGCGUGCGGAACUUCCGGUGGAGCGGUGAAAUGCGUAGAUAUCGGAAGGAACACCGGUGGCGAAAGCGGCGCGCUGGACCUCUACUGACGCUGAGGCGCGAAAGCCAGGGGAGCAAACAGG